Molecule: ribosomal RNA, 915 nt
Filed under: Methanosaeta sp. enrichment culture clone AB15
Lineage: Archaea; Methanobacteriati; Methanobacteriota; Methanomicrobia; Methanotrichales; Methanotrichaceae
Also listed under: 1 other name
Description: bacterial SSU rRNA
Rfam family: Archaeal small subunit ribosomal RNA
Source: RNAcentral
UUCCGGUUGAUCCUGCCGGAGGUUACUGCUAUCGAGGUUCGACUAAGCCAUGCGAGUCGAAUGUAGCAAUACAUGGCGAACUGCUCAGUAACACGUGGACAACCUGCCCUUAGGUUGGGUAUAAACCCGGGAAACUGGGUAUAAUACCCGAUAGGUCUCGAUUGCUGGAAUGCAUCGAGAUUUAAAGCUCCGGCGCCUAAGGAUGGGUCUGCGGCCUAUCAGGUAGUAGUGGGUGUAGCGUACCUACUAGCCUACGACGGGUACGGGUUGUGAGAGCAAGAGCCCGGAGAUGGAUUCUGAGACACGAAUCCAGGCCCUACGGGGUGCAGCAGGCGCGAAAACUUUACAAUGCUGGCAACAGCGAUAAGGGAACCUCGAGUGCCAGGUUACAAAUCUGGCUGUCGAGAUGCCUAAAAAGCAUUUCAUAGCAAGGGCCGGGCAAGACCGGUGCCAGCCGCCGCGGUAACACCGGCGGCUCGAGUGGUAACCGUUAUUAUUGGGUCUAAAGGGUCUGUAGCCGGCCGGAUAAGUCUCUUGAGAAAUCUGGCAGCUUAACUGUCAGGCUUUCAGGAGAUACUGUCUGGCUCGAGGCCGGGAGAGGUGAGAGGUACUUCAGGGGUAGGGGUGAAAUCUUGUAAUCCUUGAAGGACCACCAGUGGCGAAGGCGUCUCACCAGAACGGACCUGACGGCAAGGGACGAAAGCUAGGGGCACGAACCGGAUUAGAUACCCGGGUAGUCCUAGCCGUAAACGAUACUCGCUAGGUGUCGGCCACGGUGCGACCGUUGUCGGUGCCGUAGGGAAGCCGUGAAGCGAGCCACCUGGGAAGUACGGCCGCAAGGCUGAAACUUAAAGGAAUUGGCGGGGGAGCACCACAACGGGUGGAGCUUGCGGUUUAAUUGGAGUCAACGCCGGA